UCGAGAAUCUUUCGCAAUGGGCGAAAGCCUGACGAAGCGACGCCGUGUGUGUGAUGAAGGCCUUCGGGUUGUAAAGCACUUUCGCUAGGGAACAAGAAAGGCUGGCUAAUAUCCAGCCAAUUUGAGGGUACUUGGUAAAGAAGCACCGGCUAACUCCGUGCCAGCAGCUGCGGUAAUACGGAGGGUGCAAGCGUUGUUCGGAUUCACUGGGCGUAAAGGGUGCGUAGGCGGUUGGACAAGUCUGA
This 245-nucleotide ribosomal RNA is filed under the name uncultured Chlamydia sp. Its description in RNAcentral is "partial 16S ribosomal RNA". It matches the Rfam family "Bacterial small subunit ribosomal RNA", at positions 355 to 592 of the family's 1533-position model. The record is from RNAcentral. Lineage: Bacteria; Pseudomonadati; Chlamydiota; Chlamydiia; Chlamydiales; Chlamydiaceae.